This is an RNA transcript of Dermacentor andersoni, 3685 nucleotides long. RefSeq lists it as uncharacterized. Lineage: Eukaryota; Metazoa; Arthropoda; Arachnida; Ixodida; Ixodidae. The record is from RefSeq and is a predicted model, not a curated record.
AUGGUGCGGGGGGGUGGGGGGGCACACUGGGCACGUGCUUAGGAUGUGUCACAAGUGGUGUUUGCGAUACACCAGACUCAUGACAGACCUAUGACGUCUGAAAAUGACCAAUAUUCUAUUCAUUAGCAGGAGUAUUCUAACAUUCAUGAAAAACAAGGAUGAACUGUGGCUUGUUUUUUUGCUUAAAUCUAAAAAUUGAAGUUAGUUUAGCAGUUGACUGUUUCAGUCAUUUGGAUGUUUUGCAUGCAUUUCACUAGGAAGACUAAGAGCUAAGACUUUUUUAUUGCCAUUGCCUUGACUGUCUUGAUGUUGUUUUGCACCAUGUCCUUGUGUUGACUUUUGCAUACGAUAUUUUUCAGGCACCCGCUUUAUAUAAUGCAAGAAGGCAGCUGCAAGGACACGAGGAUGUGAAAGAGCCAAUGCAGCGCGACUUCACGUAGUGUAGAGGAGCCAAUGCCAAAAAAUCAAAAUACAUUGGCAUGUUAUUUGGACAAGAAAACUAGUAUGUGGGUAUAUUGGGUGUACCAUUUGACCAAAUGUCAACAAAAUCAAGAUACAGUAUGUUACACGAAGAUGAAAAUUCUCACGUGCUCCAGGCAGUCAUCUUAACAUGGUAUAUUUAUGUAAUGUCUCUGAUUGGAAAGUCAAAUCAAGUAUGCUCACUGGAGACAAACACAUAGCAGCAAGUGUCAUUGAAAAGUUAAAAAUGUGUUUUAAGAAAGCUGAUUAGUUCUGAGAAGUGACUGCUUUUUGUCUUGCCUCUCAACACAUAUAUCCAUGUGAUAAAAAAAUAGUGGUACAAUGAAAUUGCAUAUUUGCUUAGCGACAUGAUACAUACUUGCAAUGAGCACGGUGCCUGUGUUUACUAUAGAAAGCAACAGCCCAUGCUUGGUUAGGUUAGGCCCACUACAACAUGCAGGCAUGGGUGAUUGGCGCUUUUUUUAUUUCUGUAUCGUGAGGUUUAUUGACGUGCGUAUAGGUGCAGUGGCACGCAGUAUGGCUAGUACAAAAAAGGGGGGGGGGCAGAUAUAUGUAGCUCACUGUACACGAUACAGGGCAAAGGAAAUCCGUGUUCAGCAACUAUGUUAAAUGCCAUGUACGUAAAUUUUACAACGCUACUCGUUCGAAGCGCGCACAGGUGCAUAUUGAAGAAAAGUUUCCAGGGUAGAUAAUUUAGUUCGUAAUUUACACUAAUUUUGCUCUAACCACGAGACAUAAUAAUUUGAAUAUACUGCACGGAAAAACCUAGAGCGAAUUAAAUUGUGUGUCAGCUUCGUGUGUAUACAUAUAGUCUUCCCUAUGCAUUAGGUUUUUUGCGUAAUGCAUUAACAGUUGACAGCCUAUCUUAUGAUGUGUACUCUGUUUACAUUACAGUUGUUUAUUAGUUUACUCGUUUGUUUUGCGACUGAUGAAAUGCCGGCAUAUAUAUAUUUUCAACAUCUGACAUAACCCUGUAUGUUUUGCAGGGACAACCCAGGACGUGCAUUUCUCAGCACCCAGUCAACUGCCAAAAGUGACUCAAACACAGGCCACCAGUGGAACUCGGCUGUACCACUGCAGUGCUGCGGAAAUUGCCUUCACCAGCGGCUUUGCAACAGCUGUUUCGCAGCAUGUCGAAGUGAGCCCGGUACCACUUGGAAGUUACCAUGACAGAUGACACGGCAGCAAUAGAUACAGAGACUGCCACGUCUACUGCAGCUGCAACAGUGUACGAGGCAAGCAGCAGCGCGUCAGCAGCAGUGUCAGAAGGAACCACACCAGGCCUGGUAGAGCAACAUGUGUGCUAUCACUGACUUUUUUUGUAGUGGAUACAACUCAUUUGCUCAACUUACAAAAGCUUUUCACCACGACUGUGAGCCAGUGUUAUUGUGCAGCAAGUGCAAGACUAAGUUAAGUGUUAUAACACAGUACAAGCAUCACUUUAACAUAUGAAAACAUAUUACAGUUGUUGCCUCCCAGCCAGCCCACAUAGCCACAACAAUGUUGAACACAUGGUGGGACACACAUCUUCUCCAUUAGAACAUAGUAGAGACUGUCAGUGUUGUUAGAUUAACUGGUCUUUGUAGGCAACUAGGACAACACAGGUGUCAUAAGAUUGUUGUUGAUGUUGUUGUUGAAGAGGUAAAAAAGAAGUUUGAUGCAGCUGAAGUGCCAACUGAUAUUGAGCAAAUCAAAAGCAACCACCUGAGAAAGCAACACUAUCGAAAUUUGGGUAUCUAUGUGCCGCCAACUCUGGUAAGAAUGGCAUAGGACAGAAGUGUGAUGAAAAUCACACAGACACUGCUGUUGCAUCACUGGCCACAGUGAGCAGCGACUUGUAGGGCAAGAGAGUCAACUGAAACUAACAUUAUGAUAUAGUGUCAUGCUCCCAUGUGACCACUUUUCAAGUUAUUUUGCAAGAUACAGCUCAACCUCCAGAAACGAGACUGCAAGUUGUCUGUAAAAAAGCUUUCACAAAAAAUUAUUCAUAACACUAUUAACAUAGCAGUAUUUUUUUUUUGUGUCGGUUCGAGGUUCCCGGCUGUCCAUUAAUGCAAAAAUUGAGGAAAAAAAGAACAUGUGUCGUACUUACACCUUUUUAACAAGUACGAGGGGGACAGAACUUUUCUAGUCAUGCAUCUUCAUCAUACUAUCAAGUUUUUAAAUGCCUUUUAUAAUUAUUAUUACCAGUUAUAUCUGAGUGCAUUGUAUGCAUGUAGCAGGUGUAAAAUCAGGUCAGUUGGAUCAGAUGCCUUAUCUGCAAGCGAGCCCUAUAUUCAAGAAAUUUGAAAUAAAAUAGUUACGUUAGAGACGCAGUCUUUCAGCACUUUAUUGCCUGUGGUUUAAGCAUUGCUCAAUACUUUUGUGGGUGGCAAUUUCAACCGGCACAGCACUGCGCUUUGCCACAGUCACAUUUGUCUUCAAAGCGGUGUUUACCAUUUGUGUUGAUCUGUUUGUGUAUGCAUAGAGCAAGUUUUUAAUUUAUAUUUUUCUGCAUUCUUGUGCUUGCACUAAGCUUGUAUAAGGCAGUUACAAAAUGUGCGGCACUAUAACGAACUGUUCUGUUGAGCUUACACUUGCAAAUAAUCGUGUUCAGAUGGCCGCACUUCUAUGCGGGUGCACCGCUAGCUUUGUGUAUGUUCUCAUGUUUGUAUAAAGCUUAUAUAAGCUAGUUAGAAAAUGUAUGUCACUAAGCAUUGUGAUAUUCUUUAAAGAACUGCUUGGUUGGUUUUACACUUGUGAAUUAGUAUUGAGGCGGUGGUAUUCCCAUGUAUGCCCACUGCUAGCUUUCUGUGUCCUCACGUGUUUGUAUUAAGUUUCUACAAGGGAGUUACAGCAUGUACGUCACUAAGCGCUGUGAUAUUUUUUAAAGAACUGCUUUGUUGGUUUUACACCUGUGAGUAAUAGUACUCGUGUGGCACUAGUCAUGUGUAGGUACACAGGGACCAUUUGUAUACAUUAUGCUCAUGUAAAGCAGUUACAAAGUGUAUGUCACUAAUUACUGUGAUAUUUGUUGAAUUGCUGUGAUGGUUUUACACAUGUGAAUAAUAGUGGUCAGGACACAGUACUUGCGGUGUAUAGUUGAAUUUAUACACUGCCAAGACAUGGGCUGUAUACGUACCAAAAGAAAUGUAUGUCAUUAUAUUGUUGUGAUUAUUACUGUUUGGAUUUUAUUAAACUGUAAUAAAAUUGUUUCUUGUAUCUA